Non-coding RNA from Pseudocercospora musae, 126 nucleotides. NCBI's taxonomy places the organism in Eukaryota, Fungi, Ascomycota, Dothideomycetes, Mycosphaerellales, Mycosphaerellaceae. The record is from Rfam.
GGAGAAAUGGUCUAGUGGUAGGGCACAGGCGCCUCGAAUCGUGAGAGGUGGGCAAUUCAUUAGCCCAUGCUUCAUUCCUUGCUAAUAAGCAUGUCCUGGAUGUGCGUUCGAAUCGCACUUUCUCCA